This 478-nucleotide ribosomal RNA is filed under the name uncultured bacterium. Its description in RNAcentral is "partial 16S ribosomal RNA". It matches the Rfam family "Bacterial small subunit ribosomal RNA", at positions 28 to 507 of the family's 1533-position model. The record is from RNAcentral.
GAUGAACGCUAGCGGCAGGCCUAACACAUGCAAGUCGAGGGAGAAGCCCUUUCGGGGGCAGAAACCGGCGCACGGGUGCGUAACGCGUAUGCAACCUACCUUUCACAGGGGGAUAGCCCGAAGAAAUUUGGAUUAAUACCCCAUAAUAUUAUUGGAUGGCAUCAUUUGAUAAUUAAAACUGCGGUGGUGAAAGAUGGGCAUGCGUCCUAUUAGCUAGUUGGAGUGGUAACGGCACCCCAAGGCUACGAUAGGUAGGGGUCCUGAGAGGGAGAUCCCCCACACUGGUACUGAGACAGGGACCAGACUCCUACGGGAGGCAGCAGUGAGGAAUAUUGGUCAAUGGUCGGAAGACUGAACUAGCCAUGCCGCGUGCAGGAAGAAUGCCUUAUGGGUUGUAAACUGCUUUUAUAUGGGAAGAAUAAGGCGUACGUGUACGUUGAUGACGGUACCAUAUGAAUAAGCAUCGGCUAACUCCGUG